GCAGUCGAGGGGCAGCACAUGAGUAGCAAUACGAUGGUGGCGACCGGCGCACGGGUGAGUAACACGUAUGCAACCUACCGGUAAAAGGGGGAUAGCCUCUCGAAAGAGAGAUUAAUACCGCAUAAUAUCUUUUGAUGGCAUCAUUUAGAGAUUAAACAUUUAUGGUUUACCGAUGGGCAUGCGUAUGAUUAGCUAGUAGGUGAGGUAACGGCUCACCUAGGCAACGAUCAUUAGGGGUUCUGAGAGGAAGGUCCCCCACACUGGUACUGAGACACGGACCAGACUCCUACGGGAGGCAGCAGUGAGGAAUAUUGGUCAAUGGGCGAGAGCCUGAACCAGCCAAGUCGCGUGAAGGAUGAAGGUUCUAUGGAUUGUAAACUUCUUUUGUAAGGGAAUAAAAAGUGGUACGUGUACCAUAUUGUAUGUACUUUACGAAUAAGGAUCGGCUAACUCCGUGCCAGCAGCCGCGGUAAUACGGAGGAUCCAAGCGUUAUCCGGAUUUAUUGGGUUUAAAGGGUGCGUAGGCGGACCUUUAAGUCAGUGGUGAAAGUUUGCGGCUCAACCGUAAAAUUGCCAUUGAAACUGAAGGUCUUGAGUGCAAAUGAGGUAGGCGGAAUGUGUUGUGUAGCGGUGAAAUGCUUAGAUAUAACACAGAACCCCGAUUGCGAAGGCAGCUUACUGGGAUGCAACUGACGCUGAGGCACGAAAGCGUGGGGAUCAAACAGGAUUAGAUACCCUGGUAGUCCACGCAGUAAACGAUGAAUACUAGCUGUAUGCGAUAUAUUGUAUGUGGCAAAGCGAAAGCGUUAAGUAUUCCACCUG
Molecule: ribosomal RNA, 822 nt
Filed under: uncultured bacterium
Lineage: Bacteria
Description: bacterial SSU rRNA
Rfam family: Bacterial small subunit ribosomal RNA
Source: RNAcentral